UCUCUCUCUCUCUCUCUCUCUCUCUCUCUCUCUCUCUCUCUCUCUCUCUCUCUCUCUCUCUCUCUCUCUCUCUCUCUUCGUUGUUUUUCAUCAGAACCCACCUACCUUCAUUUUCUUAUUCAAAAUCCUUCACCUGCAACUUCUUCAUCAUCCCCAGAAAGAAAUCGAAAAAUACAGUUAGAUUUAGGGUUCUUCAAUUAAUAGAACACCCUUUUGAUUUCUUUCUUCAAUCAGUAUAAGAAAACAAUAUAACAGAUCCAAUUAGAUUUAUUGUUCCUAAUUUCUUUCUUCAAUCAGAAACAAAAUUUGCAGACCAACCUUUCCCCUAUAAAAAACCACGACGCCGACCUCUCUGUUCUCUUUCUGUAACCAUUGAGCUGCCAAUGGAGGAAGAGAAGUCCGGUGGUAAAGGCAGUGGUGGUCAUGGCAAUCUGCCGGAGUUUGACAGCCUCCCGAAGAUGGGAUUAUUUCUCAGCUUGGUUUUCAGAUCUGAUUCGUCACCACCACCUAUAGUAAAUUGAAUAGGUUAAGAGUUUCAGGAUAGCUUCGAUUGGUCAAUUUCUGUGUCCUAUUUUUGUUCAUGAAUCUUGAUGUGAUAAAAGGAAUUUUGUGUGUGUGUGUGUGGGUGUGUGUAUGUGUUUGGAGGGUUGAACACAUAUACACACAAAUGGUUUACAAUGAUAAUCGUUUUUUAGAGUUUUUUCCUCUUUCUGCUUCUGGUUCUCAAGUUGCAGGUGGAUCUGCGAUGGCAAGAUUAAGACUAAGGGUUCAGAUGGUGGUCGAUUUGGAGGUUGAAUCGGUGCUGGUGGAGGAAUAUUAGUGAGGAACAAGUUCAAGAAGAAGAUGAUGGGAGUGUUUCACGACUGAAAAUCGAAGGGGAGAUAACUGGGGUUGAUUUGUUGGAGAUAGGAGGGUGAAGGGAUGGGUGUUUGGUGGUCCUGCACAACCGGAGGGAGGCAGGGAGGGGCUGCGAAGGUGGUGGUCGGCAAUUUUGUCUACACGAUUUAGUACUGAACACAAUGUUUGGUACUAAACAUAUAUGAAUGUAACCACUAGUCAUGCAUAUCAAAUACAUGCAAUGAUAUUAUGUUCACAAAUGAAUAUUUAUUCAAAGUCGUAGAAAUUGAUUAUGUUCGGUAA
This is a long non-coding RNA of Lactuca sativa (garden lettuce), 1140 nucleotides long. RefSeq lists it as uncharacterized. Lineage: Eukaryota; Viridiplantae; Streptophyta; Magnoliopsida; Asterales; Asteraceae. The record is from RefSeq and is a predicted model, not a curated record.